UUGAUCUCAAAUCAGGUAGGAGUACC
RNAcentral lists this ribosomal RNA (26 nucleotides) under Mallocybe isabellina. RNAcentral's name for it is "partial large subunit ribosomal RNA". The record is from RNAcentral. Lineage: Eukaryota; Fungi; Basidiomycota; Agaricomycetes; Agaricales; Inocybaceae.